Molecule: ribosomal RNA, 399 nt
Filed under: uncultured Acaryochloris sp.
Lineage: Bacteria; Bacillati; Cyanobacteriota; Cyanophyceae; Acaryochloridales; Acaryochloridaceae
Description: bacterial SSU rRNA
Rfam family: Bacterial small subunit ribosomal RNA
Source: RNAcentral
GGGGAAUUUUCCGCAAUGGGCGAAAGCCUGACGGAGCAAUACCGCGUGCGGGAGGAAGGCCCUUGGGUCGUAAACCGCUUUUAACAGGGAAGAAUAACUGACGGUACCUGUUGAAUAAGCCUCGGCUAACUCCGUGCCAGCAGCCGCGGUAAGACGGAGGAGGCAAGCGUUAUCCGGAAUUAUUGGGCGUAAAGCGUCCGCAGGUGGCCUAUCAAGUCUGUUGUUAAAGCCCAGGGCUCAACUCUGGAUCAGCAAUGGAAACUGAAGGGCUAGAGUACGGUAGGGGUAGAGGGAAUUCCCAGUGUAGCGGUGAAAUGCGUAGAUAUUGGGAAGAACACCAGUGGCGAAGGCGCUCUGCUGGGCCGUAACUGACACUCAUGGACGAAAGCUAGGGGAGCG